UGGGGAAUUUUGCACAAUGGGGGAAACCCUGAUGCAGCGACGCCGCGUGAUUUAGAAGGCCUUCGGGUUGUAAAAAUCUUUUCUAUGGGAAGAAAAUGACAGUACCAUAGGAAUAAGGACCGGCUAAUUACGUGCCAGCAGCCGCGGUAAUACGUAAGGUCCGAGCGUUGUCCGGAAUCAUUGGGCGUAAAGGGUACGUAGGCGGGUAAGCAAGUUAGAAGUGAAAUCCUGUAGCUCAACUACAGUAAGCUUUUAAAACUGCUCAUCUUGAGAUAUGGAAGGGAAAGUGAAAUUCCUAGUGUAGCGGUGAAAUGCGCAGAUAUUAGGAGGAAUACCGGUGGCGAAGGCGACUUUCUGGCCAUAAUCUGACGCUGAGGUACGAAAGCGUGGGUAGCAAACAGG
This 402-nucleotide ribosomal RNA is filed under the name Bacteroidota bacterium. Its description in RNAcentral is "Bacteroidetes bacterium partial 16S ribosomal RNA". It matches the Rfam family "Bacterial small subunit ribosomal RNA", at positions 355 to 776 of the family's 1533-position model. Lineage: Bacteria; Pseudomonadati; Bacteroidota. The record is from RNAcentral.